AACGAACGCUGGCGGCAGGCUUAACACAUGCAAGUCGAGCGCCCAGCAAUGGGAGCGGCGCACGGGUGAGUAACACGUGGGAACAUGCCCUAUGGUUCGGAAUAACGCAGGGAAACUUGCGCUAAUACCGGAUAAGCCCUUACGGGGAAAGAUUUAUCGCCAUUGGAGUGGCCCGCGUUGGAUUAGCUAGUUGGUGGGGUAAAGCCUACCAAGGCAACGAUCCAUAGCUGGCUGAGAGGACGACCAGCCACACUGGGACUGAGACACGGCCCAGACUCCUACGGGAGGCAGCAGUGGGGAAUCUUGGACAAUGGGGGGAAACCCUGAUCCAGCCAUGCCGCGUGAGUGAUGAAGGCCUUAGGGUUGUAAACUACUUUCGUCGGGACGAUAAUGACGGUACCCGCAGAAGAAGCUCCGGCUAACUUCGUGCCAGCAGCCGCGGU
RNAcentral lists this ribosomal RNA (443 nucleotides) under uncultured bacterium. RNAcentral describes it as "bacterial SSU rRNA". It matches the Rfam family "Bacterial small subunit ribosomal RNA", at positions 29 to 521 of the family's 1533-position model. The record is from RNAcentral.